Molecule: non-coding RNA, 79 nt
Organism: Podarcis lilfordi (Lilford's wall lizard)
Lineage: Eukaryota; Metazoa; Chordata; Lepidosauria; Squamata; Lacertidae
Source: the annotation of a GenBank genome assembly
GACACAUAGCUCAGUGGCAGAGCACACAUUCUUCACAUGCACAAGGUUCCAGGUUCAAGUCCUGGUGAUGGGAGAAGCU